GGACGAACGCUGGCGGCGUGCUUAACACAUGCAAGNNNNNNNNNNCUCUGGUGUACCAGUUGUUCCGCCAGGAGCAUAGCUGGGUAGCUAAGUCGGGAAGGGAUAAACGCUGAAGGCAUCUAAGCGUGAAGCCCACCUCAAGAUAAGAUUUCCCAUAGAGUAAUCUAGUAAGAUCCCUUGAAGAACACAAGGUUGAUAGGUGAGAGGUGUAAGUGUGGUAACAUAUUUAGCUGACUCAUACUAAUAGAUCGA
RNAcentral lists this non-coding RNA (252 nucleotides) under Clostridium intestinale URNW. RNAcentral describes it as "Bacterial large subunit ribosomal RNA". It matches the Rfam family "Bacterial large subunit ribosomal RNA", at positions 2681 to 2912 of the family's 2925-position model. The record is from Rfam by way of RNAcentral. Lineage: Bacteria; Bacillati; Bacillota; Clostridia; Eubacteriales; Clostridiaceae.